GUAGACUUUCUUUGAUACUGUGUCCAAAAGGAGCAGCUUUUACUUUGAAGGGGAGGCGUCUCUGUUUCCUCUUCAGGUUGGAUGAUGGAAGCAAAUGAGUGUGUGAUGUUCUUUCAGUGUUGCACUUUGUAGACGCUCCCUGAGCACUGGUCUCACAGCCAGCUGCACAUAGAGACCAGUGUUGUUAGUCCAGGUCAGAAGAUGACUUGUUGGAAUGAAAAUGAGCUUGUAGUUUGUCUGCUUUAAUAAUGUGACUGGAAAAAGGUGUUGGACUUCAAAUAUGUCCAUUUCUUUCACACUUCACCUUUAAAAGUGAAGCCUUGUGGUUCCUGGAAGGAAAAACACGACUUUUUCAAGUCUUUGUCCUGUUUUUAUGAUAAAUGUACGACUUUAAUGUGAAACAUUCAGAGUUUUUUCUCUUGUUGUGUUUGUUUGAAGCUGCUUCCUGUUGGCUUCAGCUGUUUGGAGUUUCCAUUUUCUAAACUUCUACAUUCUGAACCUUCUUCAGCUCUGAACAGAUGAUGAAACACUGAAUGAUUUCAAGCUCACACUUUGUCUAAUAAACUUACAUCUUUCAUUCUUUAUACAGAUUGGGGCUGUGGUUUGUCAGAGAUCAGCUGUGAUUAUCUGGCAGCAGCACUGAAGUCCAACCCCUCCCAUCUGAGACAGCUGGACCUGAGAGGAAACAACAAGCUGCAGGAUUCAGGAGUGAAGCAUCUGUGUGGUUUCCUGGAGAGUCCAGGAUGUGGACUUGAAACUCUGAGAUUGAGGAGCUGUGGUUUGUCAGAGAUCAGCUGUGAUUAUCUGGCAGCAGCACUGAAGUCCAACCCCUCCCAUCUGAGAGAGCUGGACCUGAGCUGCAACAACAAGCUGCAGGAUUCAGGAGUGAAGCAUCUGUGUGGUUUCCUGGAGAGUCCAGGAUGUGGACUUGAAACUCUGAGAUUGAUGGACUGUGGUUUGUCAGAGAUCAGCUGUGAUUAUCUGGCAGCAGCACUGAAGUCCAACCCCUCCCAUCUGAGAGAGCUGAGCUGACAACAACCUGAAGGAUCCAGAUGUGAAGCAGCUGUCUGAUCUUCAGCAGAGUCCAGACUACAGACUGGAGACUCUGCUGUAAGUAGAGUGAUGGAGUGAGUGGGUGGUGCUGUCAGCAGUAUUGUACUAAACACAGUCAGUAUGAAACAAAGAUCCAGUGUUUCCUGUAAAGCUGCAGCUUCUCAGUGAAG
Long non-coding RNA from Haplochromis burtoni (Burton's mouthbrooder), 1223 nucleotides. RefSeq lists it as uncharacterized. The transcript is spliced from 3 exons. The record is from RefSeq and is a predicted model, not a curated record. Lineage: Eukaryota; Metazoa; Chordata; Actinopteri; Cichliformes; Cichlidae.